This 1676-nucleotide ribosomal RNA is filed under the name Escherichia coli. RNAcentral's name for it is "partial 23S ribosomal RNA". It matches the Rfam family "Bacterial large subunit ribosomal RNA", at positions 1189 to 2844 of the family's 2925-position model. The record is from RNAcentral. Lineage: Bacteria; Pseudomonadati; Pseudomonadota; Gammaproteobacteria; Enterobacterales; Enterobacteriaceae.
AUGCACCGAAGCUGCGGCAGCGACACUGUGUGUUGUUGGGUAGGGGAGCGUUCUGUAAGCCUGUGAAGGUGUACUGUAAGGUAUGCUGGAGGUAUCAGAAGUGCGAAUGCUGACAUAAGUAACGAUAAAGCGGGUGAAAAGCCCGCUCGCCGGAAGACCAAGGGUUCCUGUCCAACGUUAAUCGGGGCAGGGUGAGUCGACCCCUAAGGCGAGGCCGAAAGGCGUAGUCGAUGGGAAACAGGUUAAUAUUCCUGUACUUGGUGUUACUGCGAAGGGGGGACGGAGAAGGCUAUGUUGGCCGGGCGACGGUUGUCCCGGUUUAAGCGUGUAGGCUGGUUUUCCAGGCAAAUCCGGAAAAUCAAGGCUGAGGCGUGAUGACGAGGCACUACGGUGCUGAAGCAACAAAUGCCCUGCUUCCAGGAAAAGCCUCUAAGCAUCAGGUAACAUCAAAUCGUACCCCAAACCGACACAGGUGGUCAGGUAGAGAAUACCAAGGCGUUUGAGAGAACUCGGGUGAAGGAACUAGGCAAAAUGGUGCCGUAACUUCGGGAGAAGGCACGCUGAUAUGUAGGUGAAGUCCCUCGCGGAUGGAGCUGAAAUCAGUCGAAGAUACCAGCUGGCUGCAACUGUUUAUUAAAAACACAGCACUGUGCAAACACGAAAGUGGACGUAUACGGUGUGACGCCUGCCCGGUGCCGGAAGGUUAAUUGAUGGGGUCAGCGCAAGCGAAGCUCUUGAUCGAAGCCCCGGUAAACGGCGGCCGUAACUAUAACGGUCCUAAGGUAGCGAAAUUCCUUGUCGGGUAAGUUCCGACCUGCACGAAUGGCGUAAUGAUGGCCAGGCUGUCUCCACCCGAGACUCAGUGAAAUUGAACUCGCUGUGAAGAUGCAGUGUACCCGCGGCAAGACGGAAAGACCCCGUGAACCUUUACUAUAGCUUGACACUGAACAUUGAGCCUUGAUGUGUAGGAUAGGUGGGAGGCUUUGAAGUGUGGACGCCAGUCUGCAUGGAGCCGACCUUGAAAUACCACCCUUUAAUGUUUGAUGUUCUAACGUGGACCCGUGAUCCGGGUUGCGGACAGUGUCUGGUGGGUAGUUUGACUGGGGCGGUCUCCUCCUAAAGAGUAACGGAGGAGCACGAAGGUUGGCUAAUCCUGGUCGGACAUCAGGAGGUUAGUGCAAUGGCAUAAGCCAGCUUGACUGCGAGCGUGACGGCGCGAGCAGGUGCGAAAGCAGGUCAUAGUGAUCCGGUGGUUCUGAAUGGAAGGGCCAUCGCUCAACGGAUAAAAGGUACUCCGGGGAUAACAGGCUGAUACCGCCCAAGAGUUCAUAUCGACGGCGGUGUUUGGCACCUCGAUGUCGGCUCAUCACAUCCUGGGGCUGAAGUAGGUCCCAAGGGUAUGGCUGUUCGCCAUUUAAAGUGGUACGCGAGCUGGGUUUAGAACGUCGUGAGACAGUUCGGUCCCUAUCUGCCGUGGGCGCUGGAGAACUGAGGGGGGCUGCUCCUAGUACGAGAGGACCGGAGUGGACGCAUCACUGGUGUUCGGGUUGUCAUGCCAAUGGCACUGCCCGGUAGCUAAAUGCGGAAGAGAUAAGUGCUGAAAGCAUCUAAGCACGAAACUUGCCCCGAGAUGAGUUCUCCCUGACCCUUUAAGGGUCCUGAAGGAACGUUGAAGA